UACGUAGGGCGCAAGCGUUAUCCGGAAUUAUUGGGCGUAAAGAGUUCGUAGGCGGUUUGUCGCGUCUGCCGUGAAAGUCCGGGGCUCAACUCCGGAUCUGCGGUGGGUACGGGCAGACUAGAGUGAUGUAGGGGAGACUGGAAUUCCUGGUGUAGCGGUGAAAUGCGCAGAUAUCAGGAGGAACACCGGUGGCGAAGGCGGGAUCCUGGGCCAGUACUGACGCUGAGGAGCGAAAGCGUGGGGAGCAAACAGG
Molecule: ribosomal RNA, 253 nt
Filed under: uncultured bacterium
Lineage: Bacteria
Description: partial 16S ribosomal RNA
Rfam family: Bacterial small subunit ribosomal RNA
Source: RNAcentral